Molecule: long non-coding RNA, 1070 nt
Filed under: Sus scrofa (pig)
Lineage: Eukaryota; Metazoa; Chordata; Mammalia; Artiodactyla; Suidae
Description: lncRNA (ENSSSCG00000052080.1)
Source: RNAcentral
AGGUCUGAACAGAAUUAAGAAGAAAAAGCUUUCACAGUCACAGCAGAUGAAGAUCCACUGGUAAAUUGAUUAGGAUUUUUGGCCUGCCCUCCAAAGAAAAGUUUAAGAAAACAAUUUGAGGGAGUUGCCGUUGUGGCAUAGUGGAAAUGAAUCCAGCCAGUAUCCAUGAGGAUGUAGGUUUGAUUCCUGGCCUUGCUCAGUGGGUUGGCGAUUUGACAUUGCCGUGAGCUGUGGUGUAGGUCGCAGAUGCAGUUCGGAUCCCACAUUGCUGUGGCUAUGGUAUAGGCUGGCAGCUGCAGCUCUGAUUUGACCCCUAGCCUGGGAGCUUCCAUAUGCUGCAGAUAUGGUCCUAAAAAAGGAAAAAGGAAGAAAAGAAAACAAUUUGAAUCAACCUAAAUAAGUCUGUGGGAUUCUGUCAUACUGUGAGGUUGCUAUCUCUUAAUACCUCCAGAAUAGAAGUGAUAAAGUCAGUUAGAGAAAGGUGAAGAUUUUGGGUCAAGCUAAGCUGUUAGGGAAGGUAAGAAUUGAUUUGAAACUCAUAUAAAAGCUUGGCCUUGAUUAGCACAUGAAGCUGAAGGAAGGGAAAAGAUAAUGUUAUGUAACUAUUCACAAUAACAAAAAGGUAGAAACAACCCAAACGUCCAUAAAUGGAUGAGUGGAUAAACUGUGGUAUAUCCACACAGUGAAAUUUUAUUGAACCAUAAGAAGAAAAAAUUACAUAUAUGUGCUCCAACAUAGGUGACCCUUGAAAACAUAUUAACUGAAAGAAGCCAGACUAAAAGGUCACAUAUCAUAUAGUUUCAACAAUGUGAAAUAUUCCAAACAGGCAAAUCUAUUAAGAAAGAAAACAGAUGUGGUUUCUAGGAGGAAGCAUGAGAGAUGGGGAGUGACUGUUUAGUGGGAGCAGUGUUUCCUUCUAGGGUGAUGAGAAGUUCUGGAACAAAAUAGUGAUGAUGGUUGCACGACAUCGUGAAUGUACUAAAUGUCACUAAGUUGUAUACUUAAAAAUGGUUAAAAUGGUGAAUUUUAUGUUAUGUGAAUUUUACCUCAAUUAAAAAAAUGAAAUGAAU